Molecule: long non-coding RNA, 327 nt
Organism: Lagopus leucura (white-tailed ptarmigan)
Lineage: Eukaryota; Metazoa; Chordata; Aves; Galliformes; Phasianidae
Exons: 3
Source: RefSeq, a predicted model, not a curated record
CUUCCUUUUUGGGCUGUUCUGCAAGCCUUGGUCCUUAAGACAGCAGGGAAUGCAAUACCAUGUUCCUGAUGGAAAAUUCCUUUCCUGUGUGGAAUGUAUAAUUUGAUGCUGCUCUUUCUUGGAGUUCUUGGUGCUUUCAAUUUAAAACCCAUCGGUCAAAAGGAUGCAUGUCUUGUAUGGAAUGGCCUCUCACUUCCUAGUGGGGAAGUUGUCUUGUGGCACAGCAUGGUGUUUCUUCAGGUCAUCAUAGGAAGAGAAGAGCUAAGGUUGCUUCUUGCAUUGAGUUGAGCUGGAGUGUUACUUUCUUGGCCUGCUGAAGGAUUCUUA